AGAGUUUGAUCCUGGCUCAGAGCGAACGCUGGCGGCAGGCUUAACACAUGCAAGUCGAGCGGGCGUAGCAAUACGUCAGCGGCAGACGGGUGAGUAACGCGUGGGAACAUACCUUUUGGUUCGGAACAACACAGGGAAACUUGUGCUAAUACCGGAUAAGCCCUUACGGGGAAAGAUUUAUCGCCGAAAGAUUGGCCCGCGUCUGAUUAGCUAGUUGGUGAGGUAACGGCUCACCAAGGCGACGAUCAGUAGCUGGUCUGAGAGGAUGAUCAGCCACAUUGGGACUGAGACACGGCCCAAACUCCUACGGGAGGCAGCAGUGGGGAAUAUUGGACAAUGGGCGCAAGCCUGAUCCAGCCAUGCCGCGUGAGUGAUGAAGGCCCUAGGGUUGUAAAGCUCUUUUGUGCGGGAAGAUAAUGACGGUACCGCAAGAAUAAGCCCCGGCUAACUUCGUG
This 455-nucleotide ribosomal RNA is filed under the name uncultured Bradyrhizobiaceae bacterium. RNAcentral describes it as "bacterial SSU rRNA". It matches the Rfam family "Bacterial small subunit ribosomal RNA", at positions 8 to 507 of the family's 1533-position model. Lineage: Bacteria; Pseudomonadati; Pseudomonadota; Alphaproteobacteria; Hyphomicrobiales; Nitrobacteraceae. The record is from RNAcentral.